ACGAACGCUGGCGGCGUGCUUAACACAUGCAAGUCGAGCGGAAAGGCCCUUCGGGGUACUCGAGCGGCGAACGGGUGAGUAACACGUGAGUAACCUGCCCCCGACUCUGGGAUAAGCCCGGGAAACUGGGUCUAAUACCGGAUAUGACACCUCCUCGCAUGGGGUGGGUGUGGAAAGUUUUUCGGUUGGGGAUGGACUCGCGGCCUAUCAGCUUGUUGGUGGGGUAAUGGCCUACCAAGGCGACGACGGGUAGCCG
RNAcentral lists this ribosomal RNA (256 nucleotides) under Streptosporangium sp. ISOM372_OTU178. Its description in RNAcentral is "partial 16S ribosomal RNA". It matches the Rfam family "Bacterial small subunit ribosomal RNA", at positions 29 to 289 of the family's 1533-position model. RNAcentral also lists the same sequence under 1 other name. The record is from RNAcentral. Lineage: Bacteria; Bacillati; Actinomycetota; Actinomycetes; Streptosporangiales; Streptosporangiaceae.